GAUGAACGCUGGCGGCGUGCCUAAUACAUGCAAGUCGAGCGAACGGACGAGAAGCUUGCUUCUCUGAUGUUAGCGGCGGACGGGUGAGUAACACGUGGAUAACCUACCUAUAAGACUGGGAUAACUUCGUGAAACCGGAGCUAAUACCGGAUAAUAUUUUGAACCGCAUGGUUCAAAAGUGAAAGACGGUCUUGCUGUCACUUAUAGAUGGAUCCGCGCUGCAUUAGCUAGUUGGUAAGGUAACGGCUUACCAAGGCAACGAUGCAUAGGCGACCUGAGGGGGUGAUCGGCCACACUGGAACUGAGACGCGGUCCAGACUCCUACGGGAGGCAGCAGUAGGGAAUCUUCCGCAAUGGGCGAAAGACUGACGGAGCAACGCCGCGUGAGUGAUGAAGGUCUUCGGAUCGUAAAACUCUGUUAUUAGGGAAGAACAUAUGUGUAAGUAACUGUGCACAUCUUGACGGUACCUAAUCAGAAAGCCACGGCUAACUACGUG
This 497-nucleotide ribosomal RNA is filed under the name uncultured bacterium. RNAcentral describes it as "partial 16S ribosomal RNA". It matches the Rfam family "Bacterial small subunit ribosomal RNA", at positions 28 to 507 of the family's 1533-position model. The record is from RNAcentral.